Molecule: long non-coding RNA, 212 nt
Organism: Esox lucius (northern pike)
Lineage: Eukaryota; Metazoa; Chordata; Actinopteri; Esociformes; Esocidae
Exons: 3
Source: RefSeq, a predicted model, not a curated record
UAUCACUAGAGGACGCGCGCUGCUCUUGUUGAUCCUAUCAGGCUUCAGAGUAAAGGUCACGCACUAACGUCAAAGCUUUUUCCCGGUGAAGGGUUUGGAGCUGAUGCCCUGACCAGAGUCGAAGCUCCCACCCCUGAGACGGCAGGUGGAGCCUUUAAAGGCCGGUCUAUGGGCCUCAGCUACAGUGGAGUUGGUGUAAGGGACUGAGAAGU